GAUGAACGCUGGCGGCGUGCCUAAUACAUGCAAGUCGAGCGAAUGGAUUAAGAGCUUGCUCUUAUGAAGUUAGCGGCGGACGGGUGAGUAACACGUGGGUAACCUGCCCAUAAGACUGGGAUAACUCCGGGAAACCGGGGCUAAUACCGGAUAACAUUUUGAACCGCAUGGUUCGAAAUUGAAAGGCGGCUUCGGCUGUCACUUAUGGAUGGACCCGCGUCGCGUUAGCUAGUUGGUGAGGUAACGGCUCACCAAGGCAACGAUGCGUAGCCGACCUGAGAGGGUGAUCGGCCACACUGGGACUGAGACACGGCCCAGACUCCUACGGGAGGCAGCAGUAGGGAAUCUUCCGCAAUGGACGAAAGUCUGACGGAGCAACGCCGCGUGAGUGAUGGAGGCUUUCGGGUCGUAAAACUUUGUUGUUAGGGAAGAACAAGUGCUAGUUGAAUAAGCUGACACCUUGACGGUACCUAACCAGAAAGCCACGGCUAACUACGUGCCAGCCGCCGCCGUAA
Molecule: ribosomal RNA, 515 nt
Filed under: uncultured bacterium
Lineage: Bacteria
Description: partial 16S ribosomal RNA
Rfam family: Bacterial small subunit ribosomal RNA
Source: RNAcentral